UACGAAGGGUGCAAGCGUUAAUCGGAAUUACUGGGCGUAAAGGGUGCGUAGGCGGUUGUUUAAGUCUGUCGUGAAAUCCCCGGGCUCAACCUGGGAAUGGCGAUGGAUACUGGGCAGCUAGAGUGUGUCAGAGGAUGGUGGAAUUCCCGGUGUAGCGGUGAAAUGCGUAGAGAUCGGGAGGAGCAUCAGUGGCGAAGGCGGCCAUCUGGGACAACACUGACGCUGAAGCACGAAAGCGUGGGGAGCAAACAGG
This 253-nucleotide ribosomal RNA is filed under the name uncultured bacterium. RNAcentral's name for it is "partial 16S ribosomal RNA". It matches the Rfam family "Bacterial small subunit ribosomal RNA", at positions 524 to 776 of the family's 1533-position model. The record is from RNAcentral.